RNAcentral lists this ribosomal RNA (1552 nucleotides) under Escherichia coli. RNAcentral describes it as "bacterial SSU rRNA". It matches the Rfam family "Bacterial small subunit ribosomal RNA". The record is from RNAcentral. Lineage: Bacteria; Pseudomonadati; Pseudomonadota; Gammaproteobacteria; Enterobacterales; Enterobacteriaceae.
AAAUUGAAGAGUUUGAUCAUGGCUCAGAUUGAACGCUGGCGGCAGGCCUAACACAUGCAAGUCGAACGGUAACAGGAAGAAGCUUGCUUCUUUGCUGACGAGUGGCGGACGGGUGAGUAAUGUCUGGGAAACUGCCUGAUGGAGGGGGAUAACUACUGGAAACGGUAGCUAAUACCGCAUAACGUCGCAAGACCAAAGAGGGGGACCUUCGGGCCUCUUGCCAUCGGAUGUGCCCAGAUGGGAUUAGCUAGUAGGUGGGGUAACGGCUCACCUAGGCGACGAUCCCUAGCUGGUCUGAGAGGAUGACCAGCCACACUGGAACUGAGACACGGUCCAGACUCCUACGGGAGGCAGCAGUGGGGAAUAUUGCACAAUGGGCGCAAGCCUGAUGCAGCCAUGCCGCGUGUAUGAAGAAGGCCUUCGGGUUGUAAAGUACUUUCAGCGGGGAGGAAGGGAGUAAAGUUAAUACCUUUGCUCAUUGACGUUACCCGCAGAAGAAGCACCGGCUAACUCCGUGCCAGCAGCCGCGGUAAUACGGAGGGUGCAAGCGUUAAUCGGAAUUACUGGGCGUAAAGCGCACGCAGGCGGUUUGUUAAGUCAGAUGUGAAAUCCCCGGGCUCAACCUGGGAACUGCAUCUGAUACUGGCAAGCUUGAGUCUCGUAGAGGGGGGGUAGAAUUCCGGUGUAGCGGUGAAAUGCGUAGAGAUCUGGAGGAAUACCGGUGGCGAAGGCGGCCCCCUGGACGAAGACUGACGCUCAGGUGCGAAAGCGUGGGGAGCAAACAGGAUUAGAUACCCUGGUAGUCCACGCCGUAAACGAUGUCGACUUGGAGGUUGUGCCCUUGAGGCGUGGCUUCCGGAGCUAACGCGUUAAGUCGACCGCCCGGGGAGUACGGCCGCAAGGUUAAAACUCAAAUGAAUUGACGGGGCCCGCACAAGCGGUGGAGCAUGUGGUUUAAUUCGAUGCAACGCGAAGAACCUUACCUGGUCUUGACAUCCACGGAAGUUUUCAGAGAUGAGAAUGUGCCUUCGGGAACCGUGAGACAGGUGCUGCAUGGCUGUCGUCAGCUCGUGUUGUGAAAUGUUGGGUUAAGUCCCGCAACGAGCGCAACCCUUAUCCUUUGUUGCCAGCGGUCCGGCCGGGAACUCAAAGGAGACUGCCAGUGAUAAACUGGAGGAAGGUGGGGAUGACGUCAAGUCAUCAUGGCCCUUACGACCAGGGCUACACACGUGCUACAAUGGCGCAUACAAAGAGAAGCGACCUCGCGAGAGCAAGCGGACCUCAUAAAGUGCGUCGUAGUCCGGAUUGAGUCUGCAACUCGACUCCAUGAAGUCGGAAUCGCUAGUAAUCGUGGAUCAGAAUGCCACGGUGAAUACGUUCCCGGGCCUUGUACACACCGCCCGUCACACCAUGGGAGUGGGUUGCAAAAGAAGUAGGUAGCUUAACCUUCGGGAGGGCGCUUACCACUUUGUGAUUCAUGACUGGGGUGAAGUCGUAACAAGGUAACCGUAGGGGAACCUGCGGUUGGAUCACCUCCUUACCUUAAAGAAGC